CUGUCAUAUAUAGUGUUGACAAACAUUGAUACAGAUUUCCUGUGAAGUGCAGAAGCACCGUCGUAGAAGCAGAGAUGCAGAGGCAGCACUGGUGACUCACACAUGGAGAGCUGGAGUUCUUGGUCUAGUGGGAUAAACUGACCUGGACAUCAUUUCGGUGCAGUGGAUUCUGGAACCUCAUUUCUGCACUGGGACCUGAGCGUUAAUGUCCCCUAUAUGACUGGACUGAAGUGUUUGGGGUCUAUCCUUUAACCAGAUUUCUCGUUCUCUCAUCCAGAUGCACUGGAUAAACCAUGAGGCUGCUCAUUUAAUAAAUCUACUGUUUCACAGUGUGGUCCUUUCAAGGUA
Molecule: long non-coding RNA, 348 nt
Organism: Piliocolobus tephrosceles (Ugandan red Colobus)
Lineage: Eukaryota; Metazoa; Chordata; Mammalia; Primates; Cercopithecidae
Exons: 3
Source: RefSeq, a predicted model, not a curated record